RNAcentral lists this unclassified non-coding RNA (489 nucleotides) under Hevea brasiliensis (rubber tree). Lineage: Eukaryota; Viridiplantae; Streptophyta; Magnoliopsida; Malpighiales; Euphorbiaceae. The record is from RNAcentral.
GACAACUUUUUUCCAACCUGAAGUUUAGUCAAUAUGUGAGCAAUUGUAUCAUCCCUAGCUAGACCAAGCAGUACUCGGCAUGCAAGAGCACGAAUACAGUCAAGAGCAGCAGGAGGUGAAUAUAUGCGUGGUUGUAGAAGGUGAAGAAGAACCUUUAUGCCAUUGUUGGCACGAACAGCCUCCCUUGCUUGACGAUAUCCUUGUUCCAUUUGUGCAGCAAGGCCAGCACAACCUGCUCCGGUACCUAAAAAUAUUCUUCGAUCUCCAACCAAUCCUGAAGUUGCAGUAGGAACAGGUGUUUGUGAAGUGCUACUGAUGGAUCUAGAAGCAGAAACUGCUGCACUGCCUCGAUCACCAACACUAGACUCUCCAUUACGCUCUCUUAGUUCACUCUGGUUACGUUCUGUACUUCUAUCUCUAGUUUCCAUGGCAGAAGCAUUUGCAAGUUGGCCAGAAACAUUCUGCUGGCCUUGUGCAAGAACAGGGGGU